AGUGAACGCUGGCGGUAGGCCUAACACAUGCAAGUCGAACGGCAGCACAGUAAGAGCUUGCUCUUACGGGUGGCGAGUGGCGGACGGGUGAGGAAUACAUCGGAAUCUACUUUUUCGUGGGGGAUAACGUAGGGAAACUUACGCUAAUACCGCAUACGACCUACGGGUGAAAGCAGGGGAUCUUCGGACCUUGCGCGAUUGAAUGAGCCGAUGUCGGAUUAGCUAGUUGGCGGGGUAAAGGCCCACCAAGGCGACGAUCCGUAGCUGGUCUGAGAGGAUGAUCAGCCACACUGAAGCUGAGACACGGUCCAGACUCCUACGGAGGGCAGCAGUGGGAAAUAUUGGCCAAUGGGCGAAAGCCUGAUCCAGCCAUACCGCGUGGGUGAAGAAGGCCUUCGGGUUGUAAAGCCCUUUUGUUGGGAAAGAAAAGCAGCAGGUUAAUACCCCGCUGUUCUGACGGUACCCAAAGAAUAAGCACCGGCUAACUUCGU
RNAcentral lists this ribosomal RNA (491 nucleotides) under uncultured bacterium. RNAcentral's name for it is "partial 16S ribosomal RNA". It matches the Rfam family "Bacterial small subunit ribosomal RNA", at positions 29 to 506 of the family's 1533-position model. The record is from RNAcentral.